This 71-nucleotide transfer RNA is filed under the name Anaerostipes butyraticus. It matches the Rfam family "tRNA". Rfam says of the family: Transfer RNA (tRNA) molecules are approximately 80 nucleotides in length. The record is from Rfam by way of RNAcentral. Lineage: Bacteria; Bacillati; Bacillota; Clostridia; Lachnospirales; Lachnospiraceae. RNAcentral also lists the same sequence under 6 other names.
UGGGGUAUCGCCAAGUGGUAAGGCCCAGGAUUCUGACUCCUGUACCGCUGGUUCGAAUCCAGCUACCCCAG